RNAcentral lists this ribosomal RNA (377 nucleotides) under uncultured bacterium. RNAcentral describes it as "bacterial SSU rRNA". It matches the Rfam family "Bacterial small subunit ribosomal RNA", at positions 521 to 896 of the family's 1533-position model. The record is from RNAcentral.
UAACACGUAGGGGCCGAGCGUUGUCCGGAGUUACUGGGCGUAAAGCGCGCGCAGGCGGCCUGUCGCAUCACCGGUGAAAGCCCCACGCUCAACGUGGGAGGGUCCGGUGAGAUGGGCAGGCUGGAGGCAGGGCGAGGCCGGUGGAAUUCCGGGUGUAGUGGUGAAAUGCGUAGAGAUCCGGAGGAACACCAGUGGCGUAGGCGGCCGGCUGGACCUGUCCUGACGCUGAGGCGCGAAGGCGUGGGGAGCGAACGGGAUUAGAUACCCCGGUAGUCCACGCAGUAAACGAUGGGCACUGGGUGUGGCGGGAGUUGACCCCUGCCGUGCCGGAGUUAACACGGUAAGUGCCCCGCCUGGGGAGUACGGCCGCAAGGCUA